UCCAAAUAUUCUUUUUCAGCUGUAACAGAGCCUGGCAGAGAUAGGUGCUUUGGGCCCCUGUGUUCUGUUAACAAUAUCUCCAUUUGACAAUUCAGCUCUUGCUGGGAGGAGGCAGGCUUUGGAGUCACUGCCUGCCUUGCAUUAUGCUGAAUGUGGAAGCUCAAGAAUGCAAUCCAGAUAUGCUGACCAGAACAAGAGAGGUCACCAAUGGCCUUCAAAGGGUCAAAAAACAUAUCCUCUUUGCUUUCCCUUUUAGCACAAGACAAGCUCAUUGUAACUCACACUGCUUGCUGAGAUGAAAAGGUAACUAUUGGUGAAAUGAAAAUACAAAGAAUUUUAUGCCCUUCCUUCCUUCCUACCUGCAGCCUUGGACUCCAUAUGGGCGCUGUGAAUGACCAUGCAGCUCCUGGAGGAUGGAAGCUGAACAUCACAGAACAGCAGGUGGAGCACCAGUGGGUGAAGAGGGACCAGAUCCACCUGGCUGCAGCUUUUCCCAGCACAGCCUCCCUGGUGAUGCUCCAUGUGUGCUGACUAACCCAGCAAGAAUGAAUCUCCUCAAAUCCACCCCUCUUCAGCCUAGGGUGCUGUCUGCCUGCCCACUGUGAACGUCCUGCAUGCUAACAAACCUCUGGCUGCAUUGGUUCCUAGGAUUCAAUGCUCCUGCAUGCUGCUUCCUUGCUGUAUCUCUUUGGAGGUGAGUCUGGUUCAGCCACUCUCAGCAAAUGCAGUGACACUGUGCGGGCCUUGUUUAUUGUCCCUUUCCGACUUCAAAUGUCUCUCAAUUUACAAGUAAGAAGAUCCUCUUCCUGCCUGCCAGCUCUGCAGCUCAGCUCAUGACAGGCCGAGCAGCGCAGUGCUCCCAUUAUCCUACUAACAAAGACUCUAACAGCAUUUCCACUGCAGAGACGUUCAGCCCUGAGCUCCCCCCAUGGUGACAGAGUACUGGGCAGCUCUGGACCUGCAGUCCCUUACUGAACUUCCAGCCGUGUGUCAGAGACUGAAAUAAAGGCUGCCUUCCUGUGACCACAUGGCUCAGAGAGUAAAUACUAAAUAUGCACUGGGAGUAUCCAGUAAGCAAGGAAGUCCCAUUUUUGUCCAGUAGCUUUUCACAAUGGGAGCACUAUAUAAUGUGAUACUUCUCAGCUGAUGAAUGGGCAAGAAAAGCUCACCGGCUCAACCCAUGGCGCUUCCUUCAGAGUUUUGUUCCUUUGGAUGGAUGGUCGGACAGACCCACCCUCCUCCACAGUCACAGCUCCACCUGCACAGCGCUCCCAACCUCAACACUUUAGAAUCAAAUGAAACAAAAAGUAGCUCUACAACCACGAAAGGAUCACAGAAUAAGGAAAACUAUUUGGUCAACAAUGGCUACGUAGGAAGCAGUGAAGUUAUUUGCAUCUCUGGUUCUUAACAGAAGAUUUGAUGUACAGAAACAAGUAGCACCAGCUCUGCCUGAGCCCGGUGCUGAGCAGCAGCAGCAUCAUGGCUGGGCAGGAGUACCAGGACAGGUCAGCACCAGGGCUGGGGGGGGAGUACCAAAGCCAGGCAGCGGUACCAGAACCGGGCACUACUACCAGGACUGGACAGUACCGGGGUUGGGUAGCACCAGAACCAGGCAGUACCAGAACUGGUACUAAAACCAAGCAGUACCAAGGCUGGUGCAGCAGCACCAGGACCGGGCAGCGCUGCGCCUCGAGAGGGGAUGGUGUCCGCGAGGGGAGGCAGAGCGCGGCUCGGACGGCACGAACUCACCUGCCGUGCUGCUCCAGCCGCCGCCGCCGCGUUUGCCGGGUCCGUGCCCGCCGGUCGGGGCGGUGCCGGGGGCGGACCCGCUUCCUGCCCGGCUCCGGCCUGAGGCACAAAUUCUUCACCUGUUUGGAAAUUCGAGCGGGGACAUCCGAGUUCUGAGCCCGCGGCGUGAUUUCUGUGCUGCGCUCUGCGGCUCAAUUCGCUUCGGCAGCGUUUCAGUAGAAGGACGGAGGGAAAAGCGAUGCCCGAAUUGCUGAGCUCGGCCCAGAGCUGCUCUGCGAGGUUCAGUAACACCGUGAGGGCGCUGAACGGCACCGUCCAACACGCAGGAAGCACCGCAGGGCGCUCCUGUCCCAAACCUGCUGUGUCCCUCUUCUCUGCUGCACCUGGAAGGAUUUAGAAGAUGAUUCCUCUCAUUCUGACCCCUGGGAAAGCUGAUGGCAUGGGGAGAAAUACAGCUGGGCUCAGUGGUUGUGUGCCCUGGUUCUAUCUGGCUCUGACCAGGCUGCCCAGAGAGGCUGUGGAUGCCCCGUCCAUCCCUGGAGGUGAUCCAGGCCUGGGCUGGUAUUAAAUGUGGAGGUUGGUGGCCCUGCCUGCAGUGGGGGAUUGGAGCUUCAUGAUCCUUGAGGUCCCUUCCAACCUGGGCCAUCCUGUGAUUCUAUGAAAAAAAGCAGAAGACAGAAAACAUGCGUAUCAGUGGGGUAUAGAUAUAAAUUCAGGUUUGUCACUUAGUUACAGCUGUGGCUUAGCUGAGGAUUGGGGUCACUCCUGCACACACCUGCAGGCCAAGAACCCCCUUUUACAUGUGUGCACAGAGAAAACACAAUGGUGUGAGGCAAUGAACCCAUCUGUAACUGGGCAAUGGAGUGAAGGUCCUCGUGUGGAUGUGCAGGAGCUCUGAAGGUGGGAGUUUCAGAGUGGCCCUGAGGACAGCCUGCAGGCAGCAUGUCUGUGCAAACUGGUUCCUGUGCUUCAAGCAGUUGAUUAUCACUGCUGGAGAAUGCAGCCCUUCCUUCCAGAGACCCCCAAGGUGGUUCUUGCUGAAAACUGAGCAAGGCACAUGAACAGCUGACAGAAACCACCUGCAGGUGAAGAAAUAGCUCCAUAGGGCAGAUCCUUGGUGUGACUGUUUCAGGAUUUGUUUGAGUCCUGCAUGUGAGCAGAAGACUCAACAAGGUCACAAAGAAGCGUUAAGAGUUUUGCAUGGAUACCUGUUCAGGUUUCUUCAGGUACUUCAAUGUGUGAGCGGCUCAGUGUGUCUUAAAUCACAAAAGGCACUUUGUCACAUUCUACUGCAAAGAAGAAAAGGAAGCACACAGUCAGAUUUCAUAUAACAGCGAAACAAAACAGCAAAAUUCAGUUCAAAAAUUAAGUAUCUUUAUUUUACAGGUUUAGAAAAUCUUUACAUUUUUAAACUAAAACAGGCUAAAGUCCUUUUAUUUCUUAAGCAAAACAGAUGAAAAAAAAAAAAACAAAAAAACAGACCCAACAAAUCAAUUUCAGCAGAUCAGUCAUUUUCAAGUUUGCUUUCUUUUACCACAUGUGCCCAAAACAGGCAAAGAUGGAAAACCACACGGAAAAGACAACAAGAAACCCCAGGGAUAGGAAUCGGCUCUUGUCCUCACACCUCCCCCAUGGUAAUUACGCUAUGGUUGGGUUUUCUUUUCCUCUCCCCAUGUUUUAAUUCACAGAAGGAAGAAGCAAACCUCCAUUUGGUGAUUGGAAAUGCUGUAUCUUAUAAUGCAUUUGCACACACAGAAAUAGCUGGGGUGAUUCUCUGUGCAGCCGGACACAAGGCUGCAGAUGGAGCAGACGAAGGGGCUGACCUCAAAACCACAGAACUAAACAGGCUCACAGGGGGAAGAACACACCCAGACAGAACCAAGGAGCUGAUGGGGGUUUUACAGGACCCGCAGCCUCUGAAAAACAGAAAUGUUUGCCAAAAUGUUGCAACUUGGAAAUGAUGUUUCUCUCUCAGCUGCUGCAAUGGAUCUUGGCCGUUUUCAGCUGCUUUCCUUGAGAGGGAACAUGUUGUAUUACUGUUUCCAAACCUCAGACCUUCCACCAUAGAUACAUCACAGAUACAAUUCCCCACCUCAUUUAUCUACCCUUGUAGACACCAGGCAGCAAUUUACCAAGUGACUGGUCAUAUCUGUCAUCGAUCUAAAGACAGUCAAACCACAUUCUCCCACCACAUUACCUGAAUGUUUGUCUGAAUAUUUCACCUUUGAUAUUCAAAGGUGAAAGACUCACAGAAGAGCAAGUUAUUGAAAUGAAAACAUCCCAAAGUGCCAUUCAAUGCAACUCAAUCUACAUUUCAAAAUACAACAUUUCUUAUCUGGGUAGAAAAAGCACUGCAACUAUUUAACGUGUGCUUUGAUGUGAUUUCUGCCCAGAGGAUUUAUUGGCUUCACAUUAGCAAAACAAAACCAAACACAUCUCUGUAAGAUGGGAUCUGAACCAUCAGCCUCAAUGCUUUCCUACUGAGCUAUAAACUCCCCAUCCUUCGUGGAUUUAAGGUUUCCUGUGCUUCCCAUGGCCAGCCCUGGUCUUCUCCACCACCACCAACCCCACAUCUAUUGAUUCCAGUGCCAUUCCUCCAUGAAGUACGAUACAUGCACUGCACAGCUAUGGGAUGAAGACAGGAACAGAACAAAAGAGCUGGAUGUGAGCACUCACUUCAAGAGCCAAUAUAGGCAUUCUCUUGUUUGCUUUUAUUUCUUGAUUUUUACUGGGCUAUCCAGGGGAGGUAUAAAAACAGCUGAGCAAAAGGAAGGAAGGAAUCCUUCAAGGCCAAAGGCAUUUAAUAGGAAGUAGAGAAGUUAAGCAGAGAUCUGAGAGAUUUCUAAGUCAGUAACAAAGCUCUAUGAACUGUAGGGUGAACCAUCCAGAGGAGGCACUGAACAGACGUGGUGACCCAACAAAUUCAUUUUGAAACAGCUUUAAAAAGAACAACAAAACCCAACAAAAUGGUAACUGAGCAUUCUGCUGCCCACCGGAUUCUACAGAGCAAAACAAGAACUGCAGGUAAAUACAGAGCUCCCAGAUGUCAUGUUAUUUGACUGAUGGGUGCAGUCACGCAUUGUGUUCCUGCAGCUCCGUUCAGUAGUUACCUUCUUCCUGCCUCCACAACCUGUGCUAUUUCCCAGCAUACUUAGAAAUCAACUGGCUUUAGCAUUAUGGCCACAGAGUAACGAUGCGUCACAGAUGCAAAAAAAUCAAUUCUUAAGCAUGGAAAUGGGCAUGUCUGAAAAACAGAGGGCAUUCUUAACAGACAGACUGAGGUCUAAGUGGGGAGAAAAAAAAAAGAGCAGCUUCUGCAGGGCAAGUUUCACUGAUUAUCUGAGAUCAAGGAAUCAGGUU
Molecule: long non-coding RNA, 5109 nt
Organism: Coturnix japonica (Japanese quail)
Lineage: Eukaryota; Metazoa; Chordata; Aves; Galliformes; Phasianidae
Source: RefSeq, a predicted model, not a curated record